ACGUUCGGGUAAUCGCUGCAGAUCUUGAAUCUGUAGAGGAAAGUCCAUGCUCGCACGGUGCUGAGAUGCCCGUAGUGUUCGUGCCUAGCGAAGUCAUAAGCUAGGGCAGCCUUUAGAGGCUGACGGCAGGAAAAAAGCCUACGUCCAUCAGAUAUGGCUGAGUAUCCUUGAAAGUGCCACAGUGACGAAGUCUCACUAGAAAUGGUGAGAGUGGAACGCGGUAAACCCCUCGAGCGAGAAACCCAAAUUUUGGUAGGGGAAUCUUCUUAACGGAAUUCAACGGAGAGAAGGACAGAAUGUUUUCUGUAGAUAGAUGAUUGCCGCCUGAGUACGAGGUGAUGAGCCGUUUGCAGUACGACGGAACAAAACAUGGCUUACAGAA
This 382-nucleotide RNase P RNA is filed under the name Bacillus subtilis. RNAcentral describes it as "RNase P RNA component class B". It matches the Rfam family "Bacterial RNase P class B". From Rfam's summary of the family: Ribonuclease P (RNase P) is a ubiquitous endoribonuclease, found in archaea, bacteria and eukarya as well as chloroplasts and mitochondria. Lineage: Bacteria; Bacillati; Bacillota; Bacilli; Caryophanales; Bacillaceae. RNAcentral also lists the same sequence under 1 other name. The record is from RNAcentral.